AGCCUAACAUAAUAUCUUUAUUGGAAAAAUUGCAAAAGGACCUCUGGAACAUAUCUCCCCUUCUCCUCAUUCCUCUCCCUUCCUUCCCUCAUCGCUACCCUCUCCUUCCUCCCUAUUUCCACCAUUUCUAUCGUCCUUCACUACCACCAGCCACCGGAACCUUUUCCCUUUCAUCUCCUUUCGCCGGCCAACCUCCAUUCUCGCCGAAAAAUCGAAAGCUUUAGGAGGAAGAGCUGUCACCCUUUUUGCGACUGCCGGAAUGACCUUCUUUCACCGUUCUUUUGCAAAUCUAAUGCCGGACUUGAGCUCCUCACCCUCCAAAACCUAUAGGCAGCCCCUCCUCGCCGUUGAACAGUCGUUUCCCAGCUCCUCCAAGCCUCACCGGAGCUGAAAUUUUUCAGCCUCAAUCUGAUGGCUUUCGGUGACUUUCAAGCGAAGACAUCUACAUUUUCGAACUUCCUACAGCUCAAUUUUCACGUAGGCUCUUCCGGAUUCAAAUCCCACCACAGUUUCAGACCCCGAUAAUAUGUCGGUUUAGCAAGUUCCACCCAGUUGGCGAAAACUCGGCAAAACUGAUAAUUGAUCAGAAGAGAAGUUAUAGCGGAUAGAGCUUCGUGUUGCUAGCUUUCACGAUCUAUGAAAGU
Molecule: long non-coding RNA, 644 nt
Organism: Ricinus communis (castor bean)
Lineage: Eukaryota; Viridiplantae; Streptophyta; Magnoliopsida; Malpighiales; Euphorbiaceae
Exons: 3
Source: RefSeq, a predicted model, not a curated record